CGCACCUUUAUUUUUCAAGGUCCUAGCCCACGUAGACUGACACACGCAUGCGCCUGGCCUCCUCCAUACACCAUUCUAGAAUCUGUCCUUCCUUCAGGCCACUCCUAUUCUUCGGCUGACCCCUAGUGGUCACGUGGAGCUGCUCGCCACGCAAGUCUGGGUCCUGCGAUCCACCGGGGUCCUCGCUGCCUGGGAGUCGUUCCUAAGCUGCCUGUUCGCGCGAGAGUAGAUGGACGAGUUUGGGGUCCGACUCGGGCGUGAGGCUUGCACUGCAGUACGUCGGACCGCUGCUUAGGCGCCCACUUAGGGUGCUGUGAGCUGUUCAGGCGGUCGCCAGGGCACCCCGUGCCUGAAAAGCGCCGGAGCGCUCUGGAGAAGCCCGGACAGCCCUACUCCUCCGCAGCCAGGUGCUAGGGUCCAGAACUAAAGUGAGAGGUCGACCGUCUUUCAGCGCCUGGGCCACCGCGGCGGCCCUGGGAGCAGAGGUGGAGCAACCCCAUUACGUUAAAGAUGAAAGGCUGGGGUUCGCUGGCCCUGCUUCUGGGGGUCCUGCUGGGAACUGCCUGGGCUCGCAGGAGCCAGGAUCUACACUGUGGAGCUUGCAGGGCUCUGGUGGAUGAACUAGAGUGGGAAAUUGCCCAGGUGGAUCCCAAGAAGACCAUUCAGAUGGGCUCUUUCCGAAUCAACCCAGACGGCAGCCAGUCAGUGGUGGAGGUGCCUUAUGCUCGCUCAGAGGCCCACCUCACAGAGCUGCUAGAGGAGGUAUGUGACCGGAUGAAAGAGUACGGGGAACAGAUUGACCCUUCCACCCACCGCAAGAAUUACGUACGUGUAGUGAGCCGGAAUGGAGAAUCCAAUGAGCUGGACCUACAGGGCAUCCGAAUUGAUUCAGACAUCAGUGGCACCCUCAAGUUUGUGUGUGAGAGCAUUGUGGAGGAAUAUGAGGAUGAACUCAUUGAAUUCUUUUCUCGAGAGGCUGACAAUGUUAAAGACAAACUUUGUAGUAAGCGAACAGAUCUAUGUGACCAUGCCCUGCACAUAUCGCAUGAUGAGCUAUGAAUCACUGGAGCAGCCCAGACUGACAAGCUUGAUGGAUCACCCCCAGGAGGGGAAAAGGUUGUUCCUUCUACAUCAGAAACCUUUGUAGCACAAGAUUUCAUCUAGCAGUUAUUAGUGCAUUAUGUUUGCUUCAUCAAUUUAGCCAGUUCUGCUAGCUUG
Molecule: RNA transcript, 1218 nt
Organism: Molossus molossus (Pallas's mastiff bat)
Lineage: Eukaryota; Metazoa; Chordata; Mammalia; Chiroptera; Molossidae
Gene: CNPY2
Gene name: canopy FGF signaling regulator 2
Exons: 7
Source: RefSeq, a predicted model, not a curated record